UCUUAAAAUCCUAAAAUCCUAUGCCACCUCCGUUUUUAGGUGCAUAUUUGUAAGAGUAAAUCACUUUCACCAUUCGUUCUUGCCAAUGCCUUCACCAGAAAGGAAAAUGAACUGUUGGUUUAUUGUCUUUUAUUUCUGAUAUAGACUGCGCUGCCACCAAUGUGAAGCUUGGUAAAAUCCAAAAGGACAAAUCAAUUCUUGGAAUCUCUUGAAGCAGGAGGUGAAGUAAUUUGAGAAGACGUAUAGCCAAAAGCAGGCCAGACCAGAUCGACUGUGCCACCACCAAUGUGAGUCUGAAGUGUGAUGGUCUAAUGAGUAACUUUGAUGUUGUUGUUGCAGGAAAUUUGUCAUUUCAGUUCUUAGAAGAUGGUCAAAUCCAAGUUUAGGUGCUCUCCUCUUCUCUCACACAAGCAUUCUAUUUCAAUUUCCUUUGCUUAUCCUAUUAGUUUGGUGUGCGUACAUACUGUUAAGUUAUUUAUUCUGUUUGAAUUCUUCCAUUUGGGGGUUAUUUCAUUGCUUUUUCUGGAAUGAAUAGAUUUGAGAGAUGAGAGAAUCAGGGAUACCCUCUAGAAAGAUUAAUCCGAUCCAUAAUGAUAUACAGAAAAUACAACAUUUUUUUGUUACUCUAACGAACCAUCUAGAGAAGUCAGUAAGUAGAUGGGUACAGUAAGUAGAUUGAUGAAGAAGCAAUUAAUGCAAAAACACCUAGUUCAUUAUCAAAAGUACUCUUCUUCCGAGCAUGCUGACUAUUCUGCAGUGUAGUAGCAAUCGAUGAAGUACCAUAAGGUUCUUGCUAACUCUUAUAAAGUCUCGAAUAUUAAACCCAUGAUUAAUUGCCCAAUGUAUUAGAUUAAGUGCUUAAUCACUUCGCAGUGCGUGUUUGAUGAAAACACAGGUUAUAUUGUAUGCCAAGUGAUGGCUGCCCCUUGAAAGAGAGAAAGGAAGCUGCUCUGUUGGGCCCAAGAAAUUAGUGCUCUACUCAGCUGUACACUUUUGUAGCUGAAGUGGGCUUUUUGCUUUCCUUCUCUAUCGUAUCACUUCCUCCAUUGAUUUUGCUAGUGGACUUUGCUAAAACUUGCGCUAAAAGUCAAAUAUAAUAUGCUUGUCAGAUUGAUAUUUAGUGGGUCCAAUGGGGCUCGAUUACUAAUUUUUUUAUGAUUGAUAUGUGCCUUGUAGAUGCUAUGUAAAACACAUUGAUGAAAUUGCUAUUAUCCUGUGACAUUUUCUGCUUCUGAUUGUUACUUUGAUUUCCUUAUUAAGUCGUAAUUUUUUAUCUGCUAAACGUUGUGAUCUCUGAAUGUUUGAUCUGAGAAUUGUUUUGAUCUCUGUACCUCUUCCAUCUAUUCGUAGGCGCCAAGUGUUAGGCAGUUUGAUGGGAGUGGAGGUAAGAAAUUUGAGUUUAUCCAGUUUAUGGGUAUUGGAUUUAAGUUCUAAUGGCUUCAAUUUGUCAUGACAACAAUUUACAGUUUUUAGAGGUUAAUAUUCUCCGCUUAUGAUAGCAAAUGAUACCUCUGGAAGCUGUGACUUGGUCCAAUGUUUAGGGUUACAGAUACUGUUUUUGUUUCCCUUGUCUGGAAUGCAUCGGUGUGACUGCACCUUAUAUUUGGUAUUAUUUGGAAUUAAACAUAAUUUUUACUAGUGGUUAUGUGAUGAGACCCCUAGUGUGCUGAUCUAUUAUAGGAAACAUAAGGGUGUGAAGCAGGGGAUUUUGGUGCAGUUGGCAGGAAGGUUCUUGUGUGUGAGGUGUUAAGGAUGGUUUAUGGAGUGGCAGAUGGCAUUAAGGGAGUGGAUGAUUGAAGAAGUUUGUUAUGAAGAAUAGCAUAAAAAGGGAGACAGUGGGAAUUGGGGGGAUAUCUGAAAAAGUAAGAAGGGGAAAUUUGGCAGGGGAGGUGCUGGCCCUCAAAGUCCAACUGGUUCUUCUUAUUUUACUGUUCUGUUCUUGUUAUUUUGUUCUCGUUGGUGUUGAUUUUCGUUGGUAGAAUUAACUAGUGGAUUGGCUGGAAUUCAAUCAGUAGAUAUAUAUUAAUUUCGAAUAGUGUUUGCUUGACUGUUCUAGGUUGCUUAUCUGUUUUUAUCUGAAAUUGUUAUCUGUGUUCGUUGUGGAAUUCUGGAGUUUGUUAGUUGCUGGGUUCUGAGUAAGUGGUGACUGAAGGUGAGAGUCUGGGUAUCUACCAUUAUGAUACUAUUUUUUUUAUCCCUACAGCAGAAUGUUGAUUGAAAAUAUACAUAUAUGAAUUGUUAUACCUAUGUUUCAAUCCUGAAAAACAAAAAUGUUAUGCCUGUGAUAUAGUUAUUUACAGUAGAGCACAGCUGGUGUUUCUAAUUUUUAUUUAUUUCUUUUUGUUAAAUGUAGUUUUUCUAACAAUUAUCUAUAUUUUAUUGUUCAUAUUAUUGAAAAUAACAGUGUGUUUGCUAGUUUAAAUAUUUAAAUUGGGGCUCUAAAACCCUUUAAAAUUUUGGUAGAUUUAAAAUUGAUAACUAAAUUUUUAUC
Molecule: long non-coding RNA, 2491 nt
Organism: Pistacia vera
Lineage: Eukaryota; Viridiplantae; Streptophyta; Magnoliopsida; Sapindales; Anacardiaceae
Exons: 2
Source: RefSeq, a predicted model, not a curated record